UCUUGAGCUCACUAUCCAGAAAAGUACAAC
RNAcentral lists this non-coding RNA (30 nucleotides) under Rattus norvegicus (Norway rat). The record is from RNAcentral. Lineage: Eukaryota; Metazoa; Chordata; Mammalia; Rodentia; Muridae.